AUACUUAGGGUGCGAGCGUUGUUCGGAUUUACUGGGCGUAAAGAGAGUGUAGGUUGUUUAUUAAGUCGGAUGUGAAAUCCCGGGGCUCAACCCCGGAACUGCGUUCGAUACUGAUAGGCUAGAGUUCGGGAGGGGUAAGCGGAAUUCCGUGUGUAGCAGUGAAAUGCGUAGAUAUACGGAGGAACACCUGAGGCGAAGGCGGCUUACUGGACCGAUACUGACACUGAGACUCGAAAGCGUGGGUAGCAAACAGGAUUAGAAACCCCUGUAGUCC
RNAcentral lists this ribosomal RNA (274 nucleotides) under uncultured bacterium. RNAcentral's name for it is "partial 16S ribosomal RNA". It matches the Rfam family "Bacterial small subunit ribosomal RNA", at positions 523 to 796 of the family's 1533-position model. The record is from RNAcentral.